GAGUUUGAUCGUGGCUCAGAUUGAACGCUGGCGGCAUGCCUUACACAUGCAAGUCGAACGGCAGCACGGGAGCUUGCUCCUGGUGGCGAGUGGCGAACGGGUGAGUAAUGCAUCGGAACGUAUCCUGGAGUGGGGGAUAACGUAGCGAAAGUUACGCUAAUACCGCAUAUUCUGUGAGCAGGAAAGCGGGGGACCUUCGGGCCUCGCGCUCUUGGAGCGGCCGAUGUCGGAUUAGCUAGUUGGUGAGGUAGAGGCUCACCAAGGCGACGAUCCGUAGCAGGUCUGAGAGGAUGAUCUGCCACACUGGAACUGAGACACGGUCCAGACUCCUACGGGAGGCAGCAGUGGGGAAUUUUGGACAAUGGGGGCAACCCUGAUCCAGCCAUGCCGCGUGAGUGAAGAAGGCCUCGGUUGUAAG
Molecule: ribosomal RNA, 418 nt
Filed under: bacterium enrichment culture clone ALO1_GLFRUDD03G2W9N
Lineage: Bacteria
Also listed under: 1 other name
Description: bacterial SSU rRNA
Rfam family: Bacterial small subunit ribosomal RNA
Source: RNAcentral